GGUAGAUCAAAGAUCUCAUCCAUGCAAGGUCUCUCCAAGCCUGGAGAAAAAGAAGCAGUAAGUGAGAGUGUUCUCGCGAGAGACUGCAGAGCGGUGAGCAGUCAUGGGUGGUUAACGGAGGAGGCUGAGGACCUGGAAACAUUGUGGACAGUGCUCCUUGGCAGGUUGAAUUUCCUUUUUGAACCCAGCUUUCUUGGCGUUGACCCUUAGUUCUCUGGUUUGUUACUGUCCUGGUGAUUGACACAGUAUCUCCUUGUUCUGUUCCACAUGGAGCGACCUCCUUCCUUGAUCCCUACCCCAAAUCGGACCUGUCUCUAGACCCACGUGACAAAAAUGGAUUCCGGAUGAAUGAAACAGAAGAGCUUAUGGAGGGAAAAUUAAAGAGCUCAAGAACCACCAAGGCUGCUGGCGAAUCAGGCCGUCUCCUAGGAGACCGGGAGACCAGAGGGAAAUGAUGUGGAGUCACUGCUGGCUGGUGGGUGGCCCAUGGGUCACGGGUCUGCACCACCACCACUGCCCCUGCAGGCUGGUCCUGCCUCCCGUGGGGCCCCACACACAUAAGAAGGGGUUCGAGAUCCUAGAAAUAAAAUGCUGGCCACCACAGCUCAUUAGAAUGCUUUGGUAAACGAGGAGCUAUCUUUCUGGAU
Molecule: long non-coding RNA, 647 nt
Organism: Lynx canadensis (Canada lynx)
Lineage: Eukaryota; Metazoa; Chordata; Mammalia; Carnivora; Felidae
Exons: 3
Source: RefSeq, a predicted model, not a curated record